GGGUUGUGAGGUUAAGCGACUAAGCGUACACGGUGGAUGCCCUGGCAGUCAGAGGCGAUGAAGGACGUGCUAAUCUGCGAUAAGCGUCGGUAAGGUGAUAUGAACCGUUAUAACCGGCGAUUUCCGAAUGGGGAAACCCAGUGUGUUUCGACACACUAUCAUUAACUGAAUCCAUAGGUUAAUGAGGCGAACCGGGGGAACUGAAACAUCUAAGUACCCCGAGGAAAAGAAAUCAACCGAGAUUCCCCCAGUAGCGGCGAGCGAACGGGGAGGAGCCCAGAGCCUGAAUCAGUGUGUGUGUUAGUGGAAGCGUCUGGAAAGGCGCGCGAUACAGGGUGACAGCCCCGUACACAAAAAUGCACAUGCUGUGAGCUCGAUGAGUAGGGCGGGACACGUGGUAUCCUGUCUGAAUAUGGGGGGACCAUCCUCCAAGGCUAAAUACUCCUGACUGACCGAUAGUGAACCAGUACCGUGAGGGAAAGGCGAAAAGAACCCCGGCGAGGGGAGUGAAAAAGAACCUGAAACCGUGUACGUACAAGCAGUGGGAGCCUCUUAAUGGGGUGACUGCGUACCUUUUGUAUAAUGGGUCAGCGACUUAUAUUCUGUAGCAAGGUUAACCGAAUAGGGGAGCCGAAGGGAAACCGAGUCUUAACUGGGCGUUAAGUUGCAGGGUAUAGACCCGAAACCCGGUGAUCUAGCCAUGGGCAGGUUGAAGGUUGGGUAACACUAACUGGAGGACCGAACCGACUAAUGUUGAAAAAUUAGCGGAUGACUUGUGGCUGGGGGUGAAAGGCCAAUCAAACCGGGAGAUAGCUGGUUCUCCCCGAAAGCUAUUUAGGUAGCGCCUCGUGAAUUCAUCUCCGGGGGUAGAGCACUGUUUCGGCAAGGGGGUCAUCCCGACUUACCAACCCGAUGCAAACUGCGAAUACCGGAGAAUGUUAUCACGGGAGACACACGGCGGGUGCUAACGUCCGUCGUGAAGAGGGAAACAACCCAGACCGCCAGCUAAGGUCCCAAAGUCAUGGUUAAGUGGGAAACGAUGUGGGAAGGCCCAGACAGCCAGGAUGUUGGCUUAGAAGCAGCCAUCAUUUAAAGAAAGCGUAAUAGCUCACUGGUCGAGUCGGCCUGCGCGGAAGAUGUAACGGGGCUAAACCAUGCACCGAAGCUGCGGCAGCGACACUAUGUGUUGUUGGGUAGGGGAGCGUUCUGUAAGCCUGUGAAGGUGUACUGUGAGGUAUGCUGGAGGUAUCAGAAGUGCGAAUGCUGACAUAAGUAACGAUAAAGCGGGUGAAAAGCCCGCUCGCCGGAAGACCAAGGGUUCCUGUCCAACGUUAAUCGGGGCAGGGUGAGUCGACCCCUAAGGCGAGGCCGAAAGGCGUAGUCGAUGGGAAACAGGUUAAUAUUCCUGUACUUGGUGUUACUGCGAAGGGGGACGGAGAAGGCUAUGUUGGCCGGGCGACGGUUGUCCCGGUUUAAGCGUGUAGGCUGGUUUUCCAGGCAAAUCCGGAAAAUCAAGGCUGAGGCGUGAUGACGAGGCACUACGGUGCUGAAGCAACAAAUGCCCUGCUUCCAGGAAAAGCCUCUAAGCAUCAGGUAACAUCAAAUCGUACCCCAAACCGACACAGGUGGUCAGGUAGAGAAUACCAAGGCGCUUGAGAGAACUCGGGUGAAGGAACUAGGCAAAAUGGUGCCGUAACUUCGGGAGAAGGCACGCUGAUAUGUAGGUGAAGUCCCUUGCGGAUGGAGCUGAAAUCAGUCGAAGAUACCAGCUGGCUGCAACUGUUUAUUAAAAACACAGCACUGUGCAAACACGAAAGUGGACGUAUACGGUGUGACGCCUGCCCGGUGCCGGAAGGUUAAUUGAUGGGGUUAGCGGUAACGCGAAGCUCUUGAUCGAAGCCCCGGUAAACGGCGGCCGUAACUAUAACGGUCCUAAGGUAGCGAAAUUCCUUGUCGGGUAAGUUCCGACCUGCACGAAUGGCGUAAUGAUGGCCAGGCUGUCUCCACCCGAGACUCAGUGAAAUUGAACUCGCUGUGAAGAUGCAGUGUACCCGCGGCAAGACGGAAAGACCCCGUGAACCUUUACUAUAGCUUGACACUGAACAUUGAGCCUUGAUGUGUAGGAUAGGUGGGAGGCUUUGAAGUGUGGACGCCAGUCUGCAUGGAGCCGGCCUUGAAAUACCACCCUUUAAUGUUUGAUGUUCUAACGUUGGCCCCUGAUCGGGGUUGCGGACAGUGUCUGGUGGGUAGUUUGACUGGGGCGGUCUCCUCCUAAAGAGUAACGGAGGAGCACGAAGGUUGGCUAAUCCUGGUCGGACAUCAGGAGGUUAGUGCAAUGGCAUAAGCCAGCUUGACUGCGAGCGUGACGGCGCGAGCAGGUGCGAAAGCAGGUCAUAGUGAUCCGGUGGUUCUGAAUGGAAGGGCCAUCGCUCAACGGAUAAAAGGUACUCCGGGGAUAACAGGCUGAUACCGCCCAAGAGUUCAUAUCGACGGCGGUGUUUGGCACCUCGAUGUCGGCUCAUCACAUCCUGGGGCUGAAGUAGGUCCCAAGGGUAUGGCUGUUCGCCAUUUAAAGUGGUACGCGAGCUGGGUUUAGAACGUCGUGAGACAGUUCGGUCCCUAUCUGCCGUGGGCGCUGGAGAACUGAGGGGGCUGCUCCUAGUACGAGAGGACCGGAGUGGACGCAUCACUGGUGUUCGGGUUGUCAUGCCAAUGGCACUGCCCGGUAGCUAAAUGCGGAAGAGAUAAGUGCUGAAAGCAUCUAAGCACGAAACUUGCCCCGAGAUGAGUUCUCCCUGACUCUUUAAGGGUCCUGAAGGAACGUUGAAGACGACGACGUUGAUAGGCCGGGUGUGUAAGCGCAGCGAUGCGUUGAGCUAACCGGUACUAAUGAACCGUGAGGCUUAACCUUACAACGCCGAAG
Molecule: ribosomal RNA, 2923 nt
Filed under: Escherichia coli
Lineage: Bacteria; Pseudomonadati; Pseudomonadota; Gammaproteobacteria; Enterobacterales; Enterobacteriaceae
Description: 23S ribosomal RNA
Rfam family: Bacterial large subunit ribosomal RNA
Source: RNAcentral